GAUGAACGCUAGCUACAGGCUUAACACAUGCAAGUCGAGGGGCAGCAUGAAGUUUGCUUGCAAACUUUGAUGGCGACCGGCGCACGGGUGAGUAACGCGUAUCCAACCUGCCCCGUACUCGGGUAUAGCCCAGCGAAAGCUGGAUUAAUCCCCGAUGUCACCUUUAUGGUGCAUGCCAUAUUGGUUAAAGUUAUUCGGUACGGGAUGGGGAUGCGUCUGAUUAGGUUGUAGGCGGGGUAACGGCCCACCUAGCCGACGAUCAGUAGGGGUUCUGAGAGGAAGGUCCCCCACACUGGAACUGAGACACGGUCCAGACUCCUACGGGAGGCAGCAGUGAGGAAUAUUGGUCAAUGGGCGAGAGCCUUGAACCAGCCAAGUAGCGUGCAGGAUGACGGCCCU
Molecule: ribosomal RNA, 399 nt
Filed under: uncultured bacterium
Lineage: Bacteria
Description: bacterial SSU rRNA
Rfam family: Bacterial small subunit ribosomal RNA
Source: RNAcentral